GAUCGUUCUAUUAUAGAAUACUCAGAUCAGACUGUGUGCAGAACGUUCUAUUCUAGAAUACUCAGAUCAGACUGUAUCCAGCUCUGUGUGCAGAACGUUCUGUUAUAGAAUACUCAGAUCAGACUGUGUGCAGAACGUUCUGUUAUAGAAUACUCAGAUCAGACUGUAUCCAGCUCUGUGUGCAGAACGUUCUGUUAUAGAAUACUCAGAUCAGACUGUAUCCAGCUCUGUGUGCAGAACGUUCUGUCAUAGAAUACUCAGAUCAGACUGUGUGCAGAAC
Non-coding RNA from Pelobates cultripes (western spadefoot toad), 280 nucleotides. NCBI's taxonomy places the organism in Eukaryota, Metazoa, Chordata, Amphibia, Anura, Pelobatidae. The record is from the annotation of a GenBank genome assembly.